GACGAACGCUGGCGGUGUGCUUAACACAUGCAAGUGGUACGACGAACCAGAGCUUGCGCUGGGGCAACGCCGCGCACGGGUGAGUAACACGUGGGUAAUCUACCCCGUUGACUGGGACAUCCCGAGGAAACACGGGGUAAUACCGGAUGUAGUGCGGCGACAUAAGUCUUUUCGCUAAAGGUAGCUUCGGCUUCCGCAAUGGGAGGGGCCCGCGGCGCAUUAGCUUGUUGGUGGGGUCAAGGCCUACCAAGGCAAGGAUGGGUGGCUGGGCUGAGAGGCCGAUCGCCCACCCGGGAACUGGACCACGGCCCAGGCUCCUACGGGAGGCAGCAGUGGGGAAUCUUGCGCAAUGCGCGAAAGCGUGACGCAGCAACCCCGCGUGAGGGAAGAAGGCCUUAGGGUUGUAAACCUCUUUCUGAGGGGACAAAGGUUCUCCGGUGAAUAGCCGAGAGGAUUGACGGUACCGUCAGAAGAAGCUCCGGCUAACUACGUG
This 493-nucleotide ribosomal RNA is filed under the name uncultured bacterium. RNAcentral describes it as "partial 16S ribosomal RNA". It matches the Rfam family "Bacterial small subunit ribosomal RNA", at positions 28 to 507 of the family's 1533-position model. The record is from RNAcentral.